UGCCGCCGUAGCUCAGAGGUCAGAACACCCGGCUUUUAACCGGGGGGCCAGUUCAGGUUUACUUAGGUUCGAAUCCUAGCGGCGGUAU
Molecule: transfer RNA, 88 nt
Filed under: Chloroflexota bacterium
Lineage: Bacteria; Bacillati; Chloroflexota
Description: tRNA-Lys
Rfam family: tRNA
About the family: Transfer RNA (tRNA) molecules are approximately 80 nucleotides in length. Their secondary structure includes four short double-helical elements and three loops (D, anti-codon, and T loops).
Source: RNAcentral